AAAAGUGAAAAGCUAUGACCAUGGCAGUACACUGUUGCUGGUAUGACAACUUUCAAAACAGUUCUUCGGGAAAGGGCGAAGAAGCAGGUCUCUCAGGAGGUUGGAGAUGUCUGUGAAAUACGUGAGGAGGAACAUAUGAGGCCCAGGAAGUCAUGGGUCAUUUAUCGUCCAGUGGGAUAUUCUGUAGCCAUCUUUGUGACAACCAAAAGAUCUGGGAGAACCAGAAAACCAGAUACUUUAAGGCAACAUAUGAAAAACUAAGGUUUUUUUGUACCUCAGCCUAACCUAAACAGUGUUGUCACCACAUCAAAUUGAAGACGGAAACAUAAAGAAAUUUAAACUAUCAACACAUUCUUGGAAUGCAAAAAGGUGUAGUUCCAACAUUUGUGUUGGUGUUUGGGGUUGCUAUCAUUUUCAGAUACAGAAGCAAAAGUGAAUUGAUAUUCUUCCAAGAUUUGUGCCCCAAGUUAAAAUAAUUUUGACUUUGGCACUAAGCACAUUGACAUUCAUGAGGCUUAUCCAAUGGCAGGUUAACAGGGGGCAGAAUUUCUGAGGACAUCACAUUUGACAGCAAGGGCCGAGAGUUAACUUUUUGUGUAACUCAUACUUAGAUAACUUCAAAAAUAUGAUUAUACUUAAUUCAUUUACUUUAUUAGCAUAAAAGAUACAGAUAUAUAUAUAUCAUAUAUGACGGGAGAAAAUACUUGAGAGGACGGGGAUAUCAGGAUAGAAAAUUUAAAUGUUUUUCAUUAAGAUAUUCUGCUUCAAAUGAAGUGUAGAUAGAAACAUGUUGGACGAUUAAUGUGCUUUGACUUGAAAGCAUUAAGUUUUAUUGAUAUCACCAGUAAAUACAUGUGGACUGUU
Molecule: long non-coding RNA, 864 nt
Organism: Scatophagus argus
Lineage: Eukaryota; Metazoa; Chordata; Actinopteri; Scatophagidae
Exons: 2
Source: RefSeq, a predicted model, not a curated record